GCUUAGGAAUGAAGCAGAGGUCACACUGUCUGUGACAAAGGGCGUACCAGCUUUUGGAACUGUUCACGUGGACAGACACCUGGAUAAAAGUAUAACCAACAAGGCCCCGCUGUGGGAUAGGACUGUUAUCCUCAGGCCUGUAACCAUCCAUCCGGACCUCAGGCUCUCCAGAGUCUUGAUUUAGGGCUUUUGUAGAAACACUGUACCUCAGUACUUUGAGAAAGAAAGAACCCAUGAAGGCCAGCUGUGGUGCCAUGCAUCUGUACUCUCAGCACUCCAGAGGCAGACAGAGGUCGGUGGAGCUCUAUGAGUUCAAAACCUGGCAAGUUCCAUGCCACUCAGGGCUACAUUCCCUGCUCAUGAAGGCGUCUAAAUUGGCUCGAGAGGAGGAGAUAGGAGUCUCAGUAGCUCCUGCACCCCAAAAACUAUUCAAAGAGUUCUCUGGAUCCUCUGCUUGGGAGGUCUCCUUCCCCCAAAAGGGACAUCGUGGCCCAGCUUGGCAGGGAGCUGGGAAGCCAAUGCUGACGAGAGGUGACCCCACCUUGAACUCUGCUGGCAAGGAAGUGCGGUCCAUAAGGAGAACAGGAGUCUGGGCUUCUUCACUCUCUUGGCCGGACCGUCAAUACUUUGAGGCAGACCCUGAACUUCUUGGGCUCAAAGAACAGGGCUGA
This 671-nucleotide long non-coding RNA is filed under the name Cricetulus griseus (Chinese hamster). RNAcentral describes it as "lncRNA (ENSCGRG00000024237.1)". The record is from RNAcentral. Lineage: Eukaryota; Metazoa; Chordata; Mammalia; Rodentia; Cricetidae.